Long non-coding RNA from Bufo gargarizans (Asiatic toad), 489 nucleotides. RefSeq lists it as uncharacterized. The transcript has 4 exons. The record is from RefSeq and is a predicted model, not a curated record. NCBI's taxonomy places the organism in Eukaryota, Metazoa, Chordata, Amphibia, Anura, Bufonidae.
AGAAUAUGAACUAGAAGCCUCUGUUAUAAGGGCAUUUUUUCACUCUGAUGUAUUUUGUCCUCUAAUAGGGUGUGGCGGUCUAGGCCUUCUACAGUUCUGAUGAUAGGGACAUUUAUGGCUGCGAGAUUAAUAUCUGAGAACAAGACAGAAGUUGUGCUGAUCUCCGGGGAGCGUCAUUACAACAGAUUUCAAUGCUUGGCACCCUAACAGACCAUCCAUACGCCAUGGCACAGUUGCAAGAGUCCACAACGUAGCACCUGGCGUCUGUCACAGGAGAGUUGGUUGAGUCGUACCACCACAGGAUGGAUACUGGCUACGCACAAAUGGCAGCCAAGAGCCAAUUGCUGCAUCAUCUCAAUGAGGAUGAUCCCGAUCGUCGUGAUGAAUUUGCGAAACCCGGUGUCACAGCAAUUGCAACAGGACCCACAUUUGUAAGAAGUGCUAUAGUAAAAUAAAAGCUGUGCUAUGACUGGUUGAUAUGGGCAAAAA